This 944-nucleotide long non-coding RNA is filed under the name Equus asinus (donkey). Its description in RNAcentral is "lncRNA (ENSEASG00005024566.1)". The record is from RNAcentral. Lineage: Eukaryota; Metazoa; Chordata; Mammalia; Perissodactyla; Equidae.
CUUUUUCUGGGGAAGGAGGUGAAAACAUCACCCACAGCACUAACCAGAGGAAAUGGCCUGUUCCCCAAGGUGCUAUGGGGCUUCCUGCCAGAGCACCUGAUACUUUGUUUCGUGACUGAGGCGAGCCUUGCCUCAAAGUCUUCCUGUAGACGGAGAUGACCAAUCAACUGCCUCCCAGCUCAAACCUGAACUCCUUCAGGCUUCUAGGGGGAGGCCGCAGGCAGAAAGAGCAGCAGGCGUCUGAAUUCUGCGUUUAAAUCCUGGCUCUGCCAUUUGGAAGUUGCGUGACCCCCUCCCCAUAAAAUGGGGAGAGGGUAUAAUGCUCACUGGCUAUGACGAGGACAGAACUUUCUCUUGCAUCCAUUUCAUUUUUUCCCCUUUCCUUCCCAGGUCCCAGGAUCCCUUUACCCUUCCUCUUGUGCGGCCAGUCAAAACUCAAAAUUCUUCUUACUUUAUUUUGCAAAGGAAUUUAGCUUUCUUUGUUUCAUUUUCCGCUCUCUAAGCUGGAUCCUGGACCUACCUUUACAGAACUGAGUGAUUAUGCGAGUGUUUUGCUAACAACAGCCACAAAAGUUCUCCUCCACUGGGAAUUCUGCCUCCAGCUUUAAGGGAGAGAAGACCCCCUACUCUGGCCAUAAGGAAUGAAUUGUGAUUCACCUAGAGAACAUAUAGUAAUCUCAUUCUCUUAAGCAUUAUUCACAAUAGCCAAGACUUGGAAGCAACCCAAGUGCCCAUCAACAAAUGAGUGGAUAAAGAAGAUUUGGUAUAUAUAUAAUGGAAUACUACUCAGCCAUUAAAAAUGCAAAAUACUGCCAUUUGCAACAACAUGGAUGGAUCUUGAGCGUUUUAUUCUAAGUGAAAUAAAUCAGACAAAGACAAAUACUGUAUGAUUUCACUCAUAUGUGGAAGAUAAGCAAACAAACAAACACAUAGGUAAGGAGAAC